UUAUCAUGUGACACAUUUCUAGUCUUGUUUAUAUUCACGUACUGACCUAGGAUUGAGACCUGCAUAUGAUAGUCUAUAUCCAAUAUUUUAAACAAUUUCGAACUCACUACUAGAUUCUUUCUACAUAUCUAGAUCUAGACUGAUGAGAUGUAAUAUUGUUUGAAGUUACAAGAUAGAUUCAGGUGUUUGAUGUUCGAAGAAGUCAGUGGCGUUAUUACUUGAUGUUUCCUCUCACAUCACUAUAAACAUUUUGAAAAUGAUGGGAAUGUAUUUUGACACAACUGUACUGAUGAACAAUAUCCUUUUUGAAAACUGGAAUACAACUACAGCUGGAGGUGUUGUUUUAGCCUCAUUUCUGUCUUUCUUUUUCACUGCCUUGUUUGAGGGACUUAAAACUCUCAAAUCCUAUGUCCUGCUUCUUCGUAAAAGUGACCCAUUUGAUAAGGAGAGCAUAAAGAAAAGAGGACUCCAGUCAAGGGAGUCUCAGAUUGAUCUUGUGUCUCAGAACUCAAAUAACCAAACUAAAGGUCUCAAACAAUGGAGAGGAAUCAUGUUUACAGUGGAGUCAGUGUUGAAUCUUGUUAGUUUCUUCUAUGCCUACCUCCUGAUGCUCAUUGUCAUGACCUAUAGUGUGUGGCUUGUUCUAGCUGUGAUAAUUGGUGCAGGUGUUGGUUACUUUUUCUUUCACCCCAUUAGUGAAAAUUUGGUAGUGAAAUUUGCAGCAAAACCAAGUCCACCGAAGCCAGUUAGCUGUUGUUCAACUACAGCUGAUGCUAGUAAAGGCUCACAGGAACAACCUAAAGGAAAUAGUAUUGUUAUUUGACAGGAUCAGGUGCAGUAUAAGACCAAAGUAGAUCCAAUCUACAUUGUAUCAUUGUUUGAAUUUCAACUUGUUUCCCACUUUUGUAACCAUCAAAACAUGCAAGACUACUCCAGGCAUCAGUGAGAGAUUAUCAAGGAAUUAAAUAAAUAAUAUUUGGAAGAUUCUUUUUUUUCAAAGUGAAGAAUGAACAGCAACAAAGUUUUAAUUUCACAUCAUUGAAAUCCUAUUAGAUCAUUCGUACAAUUUUUAUCAUGAAUAGUUUUUUUUUU
RNA transcript from Biomphalaria glabrata, 1092 nucleotides. It is a transcript of the gene named probable low affinity copper uptake protein 2, with no coding region annotated. Lineage: Eukaryota; Metazoa; Mollusca; Gastropoda; Planorbidae. The transcript has 8 exons. The record is from RefSeq and is a predicted model, not a curated record.